RNAcentral lists this ribosomal RNA (219 nucleotides) under Triticum aestivum (bread wheat). Its description in RNAcentral is "partial small subunit ribosomal RNA". Lineage: Eukaryota; Viridiplantae; Streptophyta; Magnoliopsida; Poales; Poaceae. The record is from RNAcentral.
AUGUCGGAGCAUAACUGGUCGGUGUACGAGGAGGCCCUCAAGGCCAAUCCGGUUCUUGGCAAGAUGAUGAUCAUCAGCGUCGUCUACUCCUUCGGCGACUGGAUAGCCCAGCCCAGGGUGCUCGAGCGCGACGACACGCCUACUGAGUUCCUAGCGCUCGCGAACGCCGAAGUUGGACGCGCCCAUGCAUGCAUUUUAGAUCCGAGGACGGCAUCGUGA